AUGCUCCUGGUCACGCGCACAACAGAGGUAAGGCUCAUCAUCAUAGAUGUACCGGCCUCCGCCAUCGGCGACCCCUGGCCUUGGACCGGAGCAAGGGAAGAAAGCCUCCGAAUGGGGGUGAAAAUGGCCACAUCGACCAAUGGCUCCAGCGGGCGCGCAAAAACCGCGCGCGCGGCAUAUGUAGUUCGGCGCGCGGGCCGAAACUCCACCGCGCGCCGCUUAUUUGCUGCGCCCGCUCCCGCGCGCGCUCUUGCUCGCAACUCCCCCUCCCCCUCCAGCCGCGGCGCCGCCGCCGCCCGCUCCACCCGGCGACCGUUUCGGCGCUUCCCUGGCCUAUCUUCGCGCCGCGGCGGCUUCCUCCGCCCCCCUCUAGUCACCGCCGCCCCUCGCGCGCGUCCAUCCUCUGACGAACAACGCCCGGGCGCUCGGCGCCCGCAAGAGUUGCGCGCGCUGCAUUUUAGCGCGACUGCUGGAGCCAGCGCUGCCCGCGCGCGGCGCGUCGGCGGCUGUCGGAGAUGCUCUCAGCUCUCAUACGCAGUCACACCAACGUCGUCGUCUCGAGGGAGGAGUGGGUGGGAGGAGAAGAAGGCAGCGGAUCGAUCCGGCCGAACUAGCUGCCAGAAGGAUGGGUCACCGUCGUCCCCAACCCCAUGGCUCACCACCCGCCUCAGCUCACUCUCUGACACCGCUCGCUGCAUGAUCUGGGCUGCUCGGGGGAGGAGUUGUUUCCCGAGUUGUGCUCGCCACCGGGACCGACGGAUCCAGGCUUCCAUCGAGCUCACGCUACAUGCCCACACCCACGACGGCGAGGCGCUCCAUGCCUGGGCGCGCUCAAAGUGCGGCGCCGCCUCCCACGCGCCCGUCUCCAACUCCCUCAUCACCUUCCAUUCCUCCCUCCCGCGGCCCCUCGUCCCCGCGACCCUGGUCGUCUUCGCGGACAUCCCCGCCGUCGCCCGCGACGUCGCCUCGUGGAACUUCCUGCUCAACCCACUCUCGCACGCUCCGCGUCUGCUGGAGCCGCUGCCCACACUCUCGCUUGCAAGGCCCCCUCGGCUAGCUCCAAUGUGGUCGUGUCCACAGCUCUGCUCAACAAUAACUGCAAACUGGACCUUUAUCCCCGAAGCCCGCAGAGUGUUUGACGAAAUGCUGCUGCGAAAUGAGUUCUCAUGGGCCGCCAAGGUGAUGCUUCACGAGUACCCAUCACAGAAAAAACAAGUUUGUGGCCACAACAGUUCUUGGCAUGCAUUACAUGUGUUUGCGUCGUCUAAGGAGAGGAACUCCAUCACUUGGUCUGCGGUGAUCACUGGAUGCUUACUGAAGGGUUUUCACCAAAAUGGGGAGCACGAGGAAGCCUUGAGGUUGUAUGCCAGGAUGGACAAGGAGGGCAUCACUCUGACUAACUUGACUACGUCCAUCGCGCGGCGCGGCUACCCGUCGCUGAUCUGUCAUCGGCGCCGUUCUUCCGCUCGAUGCAUCUGUCGUCCACGUGCUCCUCCUAAAGUUCCUCCUCGCCACCACGGGUGGACGUCGGUGAGGCUGGCCUUCCCUCCAUGCGCAAGGCAUGUUAUCUUCUCAUGCUGCUGCAGCAACUUCUUGAUGAAUUGUGACUUGAGACACCUCCCUGCGCAUUACCAUCAGUAUUUACAAGAAAAUGAGGUGAAAGCUAAUACAGUUGGAAGCUACCCUAUGAAUAAUGGAGGAUGCACCAGCAGGAAAGCGAAGGGAAAUUUUCAGAGAUUCAAGCAUGAUACUCUGCAUGCGACCAUAUCUUAUGGCUUGGUGAUUGAACUACUGCAUAUGUCCUCCAUACUCGUGAGCAAAAGCUCUGUUAACAAAUUCAGUGGAUACGAGCAUGGCCUUGCCAUCGUUGGGUUUGGUGUUACACUGCAGUUUGUUGUUGAUGUGGUAGAUAACUGUGCUAUCUUACAAAUUCAGCUGUAG
RNAcentral lists this ribosomal RNA (1941 nucleotides) under Triticum aestivum (bread wheat). RNAcentral describes it as "partial small subunit ribosomal RNA". Lineage: Eukaryota; Viridiplantae; Streptophyta; Magnoliopsida; Poales; Poaceae. The record is from RNAcentral.